AAAUGUAAUUUAGCUGCUGCUUGUGCAGCUAAACAGGAUGAAAGGAACAUGUUUAACUCUCACACAAAACCCAUUUUUACGUCCACAGUGAUGAUGGCACUGAAAUCACGGCAAACGUGACGUAUGUAUACAAAGCGGAAGAUGUCAACCACCCUAGUGGUUUUCUACAGGAAGUCUUAAAAGUCUCAGGUAUGCUGCUUUUGUUACCAUACAGUUGUCAUUUCUAUGUUUAUUUAUGACAGUGAGUUAUCAAACACCAUGUAACGUGUAUAAUACUCAAUCUCGAAAACACUUAUAUAUCAAUGUUAUAUGACAUAUUACAAGUUUAUAAUCCCUCUAAAAUGUAUUUCCAUUUCUAUUCUAGGUCUCCUGACCCCCACUGUUGCCCCAACAACAACAACAACUACCAACACCACACCACUUCCUACCCUUUUGACUUCAGUGACAUCAACAACUAGAUUCGGCACAGUGGGAGUUUUUGUUAAACUGAUAUUCAAGGUCAAAACACCAGUCCCCACUGAGGAUGAUGUCCUUGGUGCCGUCAAGAAGCAAUUGUCUCCUCAAUUCACGACCACUCAAACCACCUUCCAGAAUGCAACUUAUAUCAGUGAGUUCAACAAAUUAGGCUUCAUGAAGACAUUUUUUUCCACUCUAUAAAAUAAUCUCUUAAUAAGUAAACAUUCAACUGCUCCUGCUAUCUAAAUACUUUUUGAAUGUUUUUGAAUGUUGUUGAAACUCCUAAAUUGUAGCAGUUCAUUUGAUCUGUUGCUAUAGUGACCAUUUUUUUUGUGUGCUCACAGAACUUACAGAUACUUCAUUUGCCAUCGACCUUGGUUUCAAAAUAACCAAUGUAACGCAGGAGUCUCUAAGUAAUAGACUCACACUCACCAAUGAGACCGAAACCCAGAUACAGGAUUCAAUUAACAGACUAGUAAGAUACUGUACUUCUACACAUAAGAUACAUCCAUGGUCAUGUUCAGGUCAUGAUAGUAAUUGACAACUUGAUGUUUUGUCCCCUUUUAGCUCCAUAAGGUUCUCAGUGAACCAGACGGCAAACAGUUUCAAUUUCCCAACGCCAACUUCAUGUAAGUACAACGUCAUAACCUUGAACCAACCCGUCUUUCUCAACUGCACUCUUUAGAAUUUCUGCAGAUUUCAUUUAGCUGCUGCUUGUGCAGCUAAACAGGAUGAAAGGAACAUGUUUAACUCUCACACAAAACCCAUUUUUACGUCCACAGUGAUGAUGGCACUGAAAUCACGGCAAACGUGACGUAUGUAUACAAAGCGGAAGAUGUCAACCACCCUAGUGGUUUUCUACAGGAAGUCUUAAAAGUCUCAGGUAUGCUGCUUUUGUUACCAUACAGUUGUCAUUUCUAUGUUUAUUUAUGACAGUGAGUUAUCAAACACCAUGUAACGUGUAUAAUACUCAAUCUCGAAAACACUUAUAUAUCAAUGUUAUAUGACAUAUUACAAGUUCAUAAUCCCUCUAAAAUGUAUUUCCAUUUCUAUUCUAGGUCUCCUGACCCCCACUGUUGCCCCAACAACAACAACAACUACCAACACCACACCACUUCCUACCCUUUUGACUUCAGUGACAUCAACAACUAGGUAAGCAAGAUCAUUUAUUAUAAUGUUUUCAUACAAUUCAAUGAACACUUUGUCAAACAAGGAACCUUUGCAACAAUGAACCAUGUAUAUCCAUGCUUGUGUCGUUAACUACUGAUGUUUUAAUUAAAAGCAUCCAAAAUGUCAACCUUUCUUUAGAAAAGCUCUUUGAGUGCAUCAAUCCGUCAAAAGGCUUAAUAUAAAUCCAAUCAAUUAUAAUUAAUGUGCUUGCUGAAGGCAAGACCACUAGAUUUCUUACAUACUUUUUCUAAUUAUUUUAACAUUUUCUAAACGUUCUAAACCAAAACAAUUUAAAUUAGUAUAAAUUAGCAUAUAAUAACCCACCAAAAAUAAUAUUAACUCUUGAACCGUUCCAGCUAGAGAGACCGAACCAACUUUCAUAUGUUCAGGCUAUCCUUUCCUAUCCUAUCCUAUCCAUCAAUCAAUCUUUCCAUCAACUUUCUUUUUCCAAUUAUAACCAGUCACUACCAUUACUACUGCAGUGAUUACCAAUCCUGUAACUUAUUUUACAACCAUGAUUACUUUAAGACAAGCUAGCAAAUACACACAUUUUCUUUAGGAAAUGUAAUUUUCCAUAUAUUAUUAUUUUCUCUUAGAUUCGGCACAGUGGGAGUUUUUGUUAAACUGAUAUUCAAGGUCAAAACACCAGUCCCCACUGAGGAUGAUGUCCUUGGUGCCGUCAAGAAGCAAUUGUCUCCUCAAUUCACGACCACUCAAACCACCUUCCAGAAUGCAACUUAUAUCAGUGAGUUCAACAAAUUAGGCUUCAUGAAGACAUUUUUUUCCACUCUAUAAAAUAAUCUCUUAAUAAGUAAACAUUCAACUGCUCCUGCUAUCUAAAUACUUUUUGAAUGUUUUUGAAUGUUGUUGAAACUCCUAAAUUGUAGCAGUUCAUUUGAUCUGUUGCUAUAGUGACCAUUUUUUUGUGUGCUCACAGAACUUACAGAUACUUCAUUUGCCAUCGACCUUGGUUUCAAAAUAACCAAUGUAACGCAGGAGUCUCUAAGUAAUAGACUCACACUCACCAAUGAGACCGAAACCCAGAUACAGGAUUCAAUUAACAGACUAGUAAGAUACUGUACUUCUACACAUAAGAUACAUCCAUGGUCAUGUUCAGGUCAUGAUAGUAAUUGACAACUUGAUGUUUUGUCCCCUUUUAGCUCCAUAAGGUUCUCAGUGAACCAGACGGCAAACAGUUUCAAUUUCCCAACGCCAACUUCAUGUAAGUACAACGUCAUAACCUUGAACCAACCCGUCUUUCUCAACUGCACUCUUUAGAAUUUCUGCAGAUUUCAUUUAGCUGCUGCUUGUGCAGCUAAACAGGAUGAAAGGAACAUGUUUAACUCUCACACAAAACCCAUUUUUACGUCCACAGUGAUGAUGGCACUGAAAUCACGGCAAACGUGAUGUAUGUAUACAAAGCGGAAGAUGUCAACCACCCUAGUGGUUUUCUACAGGAAGUCUUAAAAGUCUCAGGUAUGCUGCUUUUGUUACCAUACAGUUGUCAUUUCUAUGUUUAUUUAUGACAGUGAGUUAUCAAACACCAUGUAACGUGUAUAAUACUCAAUCUCGAAAACACUUAUAUAUCAAUGUUAUAUGACAUAUUACAAGUUUAUAAUCCCUCUAAAAUGUAUUUCCAUUUCUAUUCUAGGUCUCCUGACCACCACUGUUGCCCCAACAACAACUACCAACACCACACCACUUCCUACCCUUUUGACUUCAGUGACAUCAACAACUAGGUAAGCAAGAUCAUUUAGUAUAAUGUUUUCAUACAAUUCAAUGAACACUUUGUCAAACAAGGAAACUUUGCAACAAUGAACCAUGUAUAUCCAUGCUUGUGUCGUUAACUACUGAUGUUUUAAUUAAAAGCAUCCAAAAUGUCAACCUUUCUUUAGAAAAGCUCUUUGAGUGCAUCAAUCGGUCAAAAGGCUUAAUAUAAAUCCAAUCCAUUAUAAUUAAUGUGCUUGCUGAAGGCAAGACCACUAGAUUUCUUACAUACUUUUUCUAAUUAUUUUAACAUUUUCUAAACGUUCUAAACCAAAACAAUUUAAAUUAGUAUAAAUUAGCAUAUAAUAACCCACCAAAAAUAAUAUUAACUCUUGAACCGUUCCAGCUAGAGAGACCGAACCAACUUUCAUAUGUUCAGGCUAUCCUUUCCUAUCCUAUCCUAUCCAUCAAUCAAUCUUUCCAUCAACUUUCUUUUUCCAAUUAUAACCAGUCACUACCAUUACUACUGCAGUGAUUACCAAUCCUGUAACUUAUUUUACAACCAUGAUUACUUUAAGACAAGCUAGCAAGUACACACAUUUUCUUUAGGAAAUGUAAUUUUCCAUGUAUUAUUAUUUUCUCUUAGAUUCGGCACAGUGGGAGUUUUUGUUAAACUGAUAUUCAAGGUCAAAACACCAGUCCCCACUGAGGAUGAUGUCCUUGGUGCCGUCAAGAAGCAAUUGUCUCCUCAAUUCACGACCACUCAAACCACCUUCCAGAAUGCAACUUAUAUCAGUGAGUUCAACAAAUUAGGCUUCAUGAAGACAUUUUUUUCCACUCUAUAAAACAAUCUCUUAAUAAGUAAACAU
Molecule: long non-coding RNA, 4202 nt
Organism: Oncorhynchus mykiss (rainbow trout)
Lineage: Eukaryota; Metazoa; Chordata; Actinopteri; Salmoniformes; Salmonidae
Source: Ensembl